GACGAACGCUGGCGGCGUGGAUUAGGCAUGCAAGUCGGACGGUAGGGCUUUAUCGUAAGAUAGAGUUUGAGAGUGGCGAACGGGUGAGUAACACGUAGGAAUCUACCCUUAAGACGGGGACAACCCAGGGAAACUUGGGCUAAUACCGGAUGAGAGUGCGAGAGAUUGCAUUUAAAAGGAUGGCGAAAGUUGUCCGCUUAGGGAUGAGCCUGCGGUCUAUUAGUUAGUUGGUGAGGUAAGAGCUCACCAAGGCGAUGAUAGAUAGGCGGCCUUAACGGGUGGUCGCCCACACUGGGAUUGAGACACGGUCCAGACUCCUACGGGAGGCAGCAGUGGGGAAUCUUGCGCAAUGGGCGAAAGCCUGACGCAGCAACGCCGCGUGCGGGAUGAAGGCCUUCGGGUUGUAAACCGCUUUCAGCAGGACGAAAUGACGGUACCUGCAGAAGAAGCCCCGGCUAACCUACGUGCCAGCAGCCGCGGGUAAUCCAACGAGAGUA
Molecule: ribosomal RNA, 497 nt
Filed under: uncultured bacterium
Lineage: Bacteria
Description: bacterial SSU rRNA
Rfam family: Bacterial small subunit ribosomal RNA
Source: RNAcentral